GCUCAUAUUUCCUCCCUUCGUUCUCGUUCCCGGCGAUUUACAUCUCUCCCCCCUCUCUCUCUCCCGCCGAUACGAUCCGAUACUCGGAAACCGAUACAACCGUCUCUCUUUCUCUCAUGGUCUUUUCGGUCGCGUCCAAGACCGAAACGCUACCGAUACAGACCAUGCCCUCGACGUCAAAACCACACCCUCCGCUCCACAACUUCUCCCUCCCGUUCUUGAAAUGGGGCAACCAACGCCUCCUACGCUGCAUGAAAUCCAAUCCCAAUCGUCCAAUACCUGCCGUAUCUCCCGACCGCAGAUCGCCGCCCUCUGAUGCUGAAUCCGUAGAUCACACCUCCCCAAACCGCUCCAGCAGCUUCCACAAACCUUCCACCCCUUCUGCUCACGAGAAAUUACGAGAUCUCCCAACCGACGACGGGAUCGAAAAGAUCAGAGCAAAGCUCAUGGAUCAUCUACGGACGGCGGCCGACCGGAUCAGGUACAAGGUGCCGGAAGAUGGAGAGGAGGAAUCGACGUCGGCGGCAGCGGCAGCGGCAGCGGCGUCGGCAUCGGCGCUCCGGCCGUGGAAUCUGAGGACGAGGAGGGCGGCUUGCAAGGCUCCAGUGGAGAUCGGCAGCCGCAGUGGAGGUUCCCUGCGGUUGAGAAGUUUGGCGACGGCGGGUGCAGUGCAGGAUGUAGAGAAGAAGAAGGAAAAGGAGAGGAGGAAGUUCUCGAUCUCACUGUCUAGAGACGAGAUCGAAGAGGAUUUCUUUGUUAUAACAGGUUCCAAGCCAGCGCGGAGGCCGAAGAAGAGAGCUAAGAUCGUACAGCGGCAACUUGAUGGGGUUUUCCCUGGUUUUUGGUUGUCAGAGAUCACGGCAGACACAUAUAGAGUCCCCGAUUUGCAUGAACCUGGGCAGAUACAAACAUGAUGCCGACGGCGACUCUUGAAAUUGUGAGAUUUUUCUGCGGGCUGACUAUUACAGCAGUGUUUGACCUCAAUCCGCGAGAGGAAGAUUGUUGGGCUUCUUCGGCUCAGCAUCAGGUUCAAAUCUUUCGACCAGAGGCAGCUCCUUUCUCUUAACAUUAUAUGGCUGCAAACGUUUCAAUCAUGAGAAGUUAUAUGCAUCCAUGUAGUGUAGUACAGGUGUGGGAUCCCCUGUUGGUCUGGUGAGCCACACUGUGGAUAGACCAUGUCCAAACAUGGAGAUGGUGAUCCAAUCUUUUUGGCAGUUUUCUGUUGGAUGGUGGGCUGUUUUAUGCUUGUUUUCUUCUUAACCGUCGAUUUGCAGGUCACACAUUGAAUAUAGAUUAAUCUUGGCCUUGCAAUUUGUAGCCUGCAAAAGAUUGUUAAGAAUAGGAAUAUAAGCAUCGCCACUGGUCCACAAUCAAUUGAACAAAAAAAUUGGCGGCUAGGAUCUUCUGAUCUGGGUUAUCUUCGGGUCACUGUCCAUUGACAGUGGGUCUCAUAAGAUCAAUGACCCAGAUCACUAAAGUGUCAGCCCAACUCGACACUUUAGUUAUCCUGGGAGAAAAACUCUGCUAAAAUUACACCGCACAGAUCAUGUUUCCCAUUCUAGAAGUUUUACUUGUUUGACUUUGUUUGAUAAUCUGACAAUCAGAAUGGUGGACAUUUAUUUGAAUGGUUAAAAAUGAAAAAUAUCCAAUGAUUUUGAGUUAAAAAUAUUACGCCUUUAAAUUUUCUGAGUGCCUGCGUAUGAAGCAUCAUAAGCUUGCCUGAGUAUCAAACUCCCCCCUAUUUGGUGGAAGAAUUAUACGGUCCUAGCGCUGCUGAGGACCUGCAUAAUGCACAGCCCUUGUGGUCUGCAAACAGAUGGUCAAGCUGAGAAAAUAG
RNA transcript from Magnolia sinica, 1837 nucleotides. RefSeq lists it as uncharacterized. The record is from RefSeq and is a predicted model, not a curated record. The transcript is spliced from 4 exons. NCBI's taxonomy places the organism in Eukaryota, Viridiplantae, Streptophyta, Magnoliopsida, Magnoliales, Magnoliaceae.